This 460-nucleotide ribosomal RNA is filed under the name uncultured bacterium. RNAcentral describes it as "partial 16S ribosomal RNA". It matches the Rfam family "Bacterial small subunit ribosomal RNA", at positions 338 to 795 of the family's 1533-position model. The record is from RNAcentral.
CCUACGGGAGGCUGCAGUGAGGAAUAUUGGUCAAUGGACGAGAGUCUGAACCAGCCAAGUAGCGUGAAGGAUGACUGCCCUAUGGGUUGUAAACUUCUUUUAUAUGGGAAUAAAAUGUUCCACGUGUGGGAUUUUGUAUGUACCAUAUGAAUAAGGAUCGGCUAACUCCGUGCCAGCAGCCGCGGUAAUACGGAGGAUCCGAGCGUUAUCCGGAUUUAUUGGGUUUAAAGGGAGCGUAGGUGGAUUGUUAAGUCAGUUGUGAAAGUUUGCGGCUAAACCGUAAAAUUGCAGUUGAAACUGGCAGUCUUGAGUACAGUAGAGGUGGGCGGAAUUCGUGGUGUAGCGGUGAAAUGCUUAGAUAUCACGAAGAACUCCGAUUGCGAAGGCAGUUCACUGGACUGCAACUGACACUGAGGCUCGAAAGUGUGGGUAUCAAACAGGAUUAGAUACCCUUGUAGUC